AAGCAACUUAUGGCUUAAACACAAUUCUGAGUGGCCAGGUCCUGUGUUUGGAGGGGAGGAAGAAAGCUAAGCACAGGUCUACCUCUACUGGCAGGUUGACUCUGGGAGAUAACACAUCCUGGAAUGGUUCUGUGUUCCUUUCUUGCCAUGAGGAUUCAUCUGGCAUGGGUAACAGUCACAACAAUUGGCUAUGGAGACAAAGUUCCCCAGACAUGAAUUGGGAAGACAAUAGCUUCCUGGUUCUCAGUAUUUGCCAUCUCCUUCUUUGCCCUGCCAGCUGGCAUUCUGGGGUCUGGUUUUGCCCUGAAAGUACAGCAGAAACAAUGUCAGAAGCAUUUCAAUAGACAAAUCCCAGCUGCAGUUUCCCUAAUUCAGAUCCUGUGGCGCUGCUAUGUAGCAGAGAAAUCCUGCACCUCCACAGCCACCUGGAAGAUCUAUGUGACAGCUCCCAUGCAAAAUCCCAAAAAGUCUCCAGCGCCAUCUAGUCCUGGUCUGAGAAAACAGGCCAGAUGAUACAGACGAAAAGGGAAGCUGGGCUGUGGGAAUGGUUCUGCACCUGUAAUAAACCCAGGAGAAAAUUCCUUGUCUGUUCCCCAGAUCACUUAUGAUCACGCUGAUGAACAAGAGGACAAAAAAGAUGUGUCUUUCUACAUAGAUGAACCCAAAGCAUAUUUAUUGGGCUGGAGCAGCUUCCCUUGCUGACCAUGUGACAGCAGAUUUUGCUGAGUGUAUUUUGGUAUUGUGAUGUGAUGGAUAGAAGAAGCAAUGUGUUGAGCAACUGGUACCAAUCCUGGAGGCCACUAUGAUGUUGGGGACUCUGCUGCCUGUACUCAGGACUCUGCCAGUGUAUGCCGGCUCACUAAAGCUGUGUUCUUUCAAUGGUCAUAGUUACACUGAGCAACUCUUUCCUCUGUCAUAGGAGAGUGAUGAAGAAAGCAUGUAUCUUUUUCUGCCUGACAGUAAAAUGAAAGAAUU
Long non-coding RNA from Cyanistes caeruleus (blue tit), 975 nucleotides. RefSeq lists it as uncharacterized. NCBI's taxonomy places the organism in Eukaryota, Metazoa, Chordata, Aves, Passeriformes, Paridae. The record is from RefSeq and is a predicted model, not a curated record.